RNAcentral lists this ribosomal RNA (402 nucleotides) under uncultured bacterium. Its description in RNAcentral is "bacterial SSU rRNA". It matches the Rfam family "Bacterial small subunit ribosomal RNA", at positions 355 to 749 of the family's 1533-position model. The record is from RNAcentral.
UGGGGAAUCUUGGGCAAUGGGCGAAAGCCUGACCCAGCAACGCCGCGUGUGGGAUGAAGGCCCUCGGGUCGUAAACCACUGUCAGAGGGGAAGAAAUGCGACCGGGUAAUAUUCGGUCGAGCUGACGGUACCCUCAAAGGAAGCGCCGGCUAACUCCGUGCCAGCAGCCGCGGUAAUACGGAGGGCGCAAGCGUUGUUCGGAAUUACUGGGCGUAAAGCGCGUGUAGGUGGUUCGGAAAGUCGGAUGUGAAAGUCCGGAGCUCAACUCCGGAAGUGCAUCCGAUACUCUCGAGCUCGAGUCUCGGAGAGGAAGGCAGAAUUCCCAAUGUAGGGGUGAAAUCCGUAGAUAUUGGGAGGAAUACCGGUGGCGAAGGCGGCCUUCUGGACGAUGACUGACACUGA